RNAcentral lists this ribosomal RNA (117 nucleotides) under uncultured bacterium. RNAcentral's name for it is "partial 16S ribosomal RNA". It matches the Rfam family "Bacterial small subunit ribosomal RNA", at positions 1357 to 1482 of the family's 1533-position model. The record is from RNAcentral.
CUACGGUGAAUACGUUCCCGGGCCUUGUACACACCGCCCGUCAAGCCAUGGAAGCUGGGGGGACCUGAAGUCGAUAACCGUAAGGAGUCGCCUAGGGUAAAACCGGUAACUGGGGCU